This is a non-coding RNA of Caenorhabditis elegans, 148 nucleotides long. The record is from Ensembl. NCBI's taxonomy places the organism in Eukaryota, Metazoa, Nematoda, Chromadorea, Rhabditida, Rhabditidae.
UGGGGGAAAAAGAGGAGGAGGCCGAAGGGUGGGAGGUCGUCGCAUCAGCGAACUGUUCACUUCCGGGGCUGACUGACUUUCACAGCAACAGCAGUAGGAGGAAGAGGAUACGUUUACUUUUUACAAAAUAUCAGCAACACACAACUCU